AGUAAUGCGUGGGUAACCUGCCUUGUACAGGGGGAUAACAGUUGGAAACGGCUGCUAAUACCGCAUAAGCGCACGGCAUCGCAUGAUGCAGUGUGAAAAACUCCGGUGGUAUAAGAUGGACCCGCGUUGGAUUAGCUAGUUGGUGAGGUAACGGCCCACCAAGGCGACGAUCCAUAGCCGACCUGAGAGGGUGACCGGCCACAUUGGGACUGAGACACGGCCCAA
This 225-nucleotide ribosomal RNA is filed under the name uncultured bacterium. Its description in RNAcentral is "partial 16S ribosomal RNA". It matches the Rfam family "Bacterial small subunit ribosomal RNA", at positions 109 to 334 of the family's 1533-position model. The record is from RNAcentral.